UAACUGGCAGUAUGAUGGGAACCACUACCCCUGCAUCUUUUUAAACAUCUGAUUGUAGCACUAAUCUGUGCAACUUCUGAGAUGCACAGUUGCUUUGCUGUCUUGGUUAGAAAGGUGCUUUGGGAAACAUCAGUGGACAAAAUGGACAAACACUCCCUACCUUCAUGGAGUUCAUAUUCUAGCAGGGAAGAGAUGGGGAAUAAAUAAUGAGUAAAAAUAAAUAAUUGGACACCCAAAGGUGUCUCUCAUCAGCUGCUGACAACCCACAGCCCAAGACGCCCAUCUGGUUUAGCAAUUCCGGGGCAAAGAGAAGGUUUGCUACAGCUUUGGCAGAAAACUACCCGGGAGGUUGCUGAUUGGCAUCUUCAGUCGUAUCCUUGAACCAAUCACCACAGGCCUGAGCUACUGAAGGAUGAGCUCCUCGAGAUGCAUGGUGCUGGAUAGAAGGAUAUAGAAGGAAUGCCUGGGGACCUGGUAAGCGAAGAGAACGUCCCCAUGACCUGGGAAGCUGGCCCAUCUACAAAGCCCAUUCCUGAGGUCAUCACUACCUGGCAACUAAGACUCUUGGGCGUCUUAUGUCUGAUUCUGCCAUGAGGAAGCAGGGCUUGCCAAGGUCAGUCUCUGGUCAGGCACUGGAGCUGC
Long non-coding RNA from Mustela erminea (ermine), 642 nucleotides. RefSeq lists it as uncharacterized. The record is from RefSeq and is a predicted model, not a curated record. The transcript has 4 exons. Lineage: Eukaryota; Metazoa; Chordata; Mammalia; Carnivora; Mustelidae.